CAUUUUUAGAAGGUACACACUAUACAUUUUUAAACAGUGAUUUAUUUUGAAAACCUUGCUGCCAUUAUAGGUUUUCCCUUCUAGGGGAAGAAUAGUAUGGUAGAUCUCAAAUCAAUGAAGGCGACACUCAAAGAUCUCUAGACUUCUGGAAUAUGAUGCUCAAACAGUUCCACUUUUUUCUACUGCCUGUCCCUCCCUUCUCGUAUUUAUCUCCAGACUUCUCCUUGUCCAGAUCUAUUCCACCUCCAACAAUCUUCUAUUCAUUGAACUUUUUGAAAUGUUGCACUUUCAGAGAGACGUAAGGGAUUGACUGUGUAUACAAAUUUGCAGAGAGACAAUAGAGUUGAGGCCUGUUAUUUCUUACGUCUAUUUAUUUUAAAACAUUUU
Molecule: long non-coding RNA, 387 nt
Organism: Dermochelys coriacea (leatherback sea turtle)
Lineage: Eukaryota; Metazoa; Chordata; Testudines; Dermochelyidae
Exons: 2
Source: RefSeq, a predicted model, not a curated record